GACAUGCACUACUGACAGACCACAGGGUGU
Molecule: non-coding RNA, 30 nt
Filed under: Homo sapiens (human)
Lineage: Eukaryota; Metazoa; Chordata; Mammalia; Primates; Hominidae
Source: RNAcentral